RNAcentral lists this long non-coding RNA (402 nucleotides) under Theobroma cacao (cacao). Its description in RNAcentral is "long non-coding RNA (TCAC_LNC005911)". Lineage: Eukaryota; Viridiplantae; Streptophyta; Magnoliopsida; Malvales; Malvaceae. The record is from RNAcentral.
UUCCAUAACCGUUUUUAAUAUCUGGCACCACAAUUCAUCAAAUACGAGUUAAAUAACAUGAGAUAUAACAAGAUUCAUCAUCAAUAUGUCCUUUAGUAAAUUUGGCCAAAGAGGAUUGUUGAAGAGUAUGUGAUUUUCUUGCUUGUUUUUCAUGCCAAACAUCAUCAAACAACUAAAAACACUGAGAUAUCAUAAAAUCUAGCAAAAUUCAUCACCAAAACUUCCCUCUCUAGAUUUGGCCAGCAAAGGUUCCCUCUUGAAAACUUGAAUUUCAGCCAUGAAAAAUGAAAAAGAAUGCAUGGGAAAGGUAGAUCACAAGCUAAAAUUUAAAAAAUCUUACCUUUACUUGCUUGAUUCCUUGAAAUCCAACAAUUUCUCUUAAAUUUUUCCUUCCUAGGGUUU